RNAcentral lists this ribosomal RNA (460 nucleotides) under uncultured bacterium. RNAcentral describes it as "partial 16S ribosomal RNA". It matches the Rfam family "Bacterial small subunit ribosomal RNA", at positions 338 to 795 of the family's 1533-position model. The record is from RNAcentral.
CCUACGGGGGGCAGCAGUGAGGAAUAUUGGUCAAUGGCCGAGAGCCUGAACCAGCCAAGUAGCGUGAAGGAUGACUGCCCUACGGGUUGUAAACUUCUUUUAUAAAGGAAUAAAGUGAGGCACGUGUGCCUCUUUGUAUGUACUUUAUGAAUAAGGAUCGGCUAACUCCGUGCCAGCAGCCGCGGUAAUACGGAGGAUCCGAGCGUUAUCCGGAUUUAUUGGGUUUAAAGGGAGCGUAGAUGGGUGGUUAAGUCAGGUGUGAAAGUUUGCGGCUCAACCCUAAAAUUGCAUUUGAUACUGGCAGUCUUGAGUACAGGUGAGGUAGGCGGAAUGCGUGGUGUAGCGGUGAAAUGCAUAGAUAUCACGAAGAACUCCGAUUGCGAAGGCAGCUUACUAAACUGCCACUGACAUUGAUGCACGAAAGUGUGGGUAUCGAACAGGAUUAGAUACCCUAGUAGUC